UACCAGCACCCCGAGUGGUCGGGACGAUUAUUGGGCCUAAAGCAUCCGUAGCCGGUUUUACAAGUCCCCCGUUAAAUCCAGCUGCUUAACAGAUGGGCUGCGGAGGAUACUAUAAGACUAGGAGGCAGGAGAGGCAAGCGGUACUCAGUGGGUAGGGGUAAAAUCCGUUGAUCCAUUGAAGACCACCAGUGGCGAAGGCGGCUUGCCAGAAUGCGCUCGACGGUGAGGGAUGAAAGCUGGGGGGGCAAACCGG
RNAcentral lists this ribosomal RNA (253 nucleotides) under uncultured bacterium. Its description in RNAcentral is "partial 16S ribosomal RNA". It matches the Rfam family "Archaeal small subunit ribosomal RNA", at positions 474 to 727 of the family's 1478-position model. The record is from RNAcentral.